AUGGAUUUUCUCGACACGACACGACACGACACAUGACACGACACGACGUUAUUACUUGUGCCAUCUAUAAAAUUAUCUGGUCUUUCCUUUGCUACAACAAUGCCCAAUAAUUGGUCUUCCAAUCCGGUUGGUGUUAUCAUAAAAUUUAGCAACGUUACUUUGACCGCUAUCUCUGAAUUCGAGAAUCCUCAAUGACACACGGAUCCUGCCGACUCAAUAACCAGAGCCACUGUUCAAUUGUGAAUAUCUAUCAACUGUGAAUAUCUAUCAAUUUACGAGGAAAUUUAUAAAUUAAAAAAACGGUGUAUGCGGAACGUACCUGUCCUAA
This is a long non-coding RNA of Frieseomelitta varia, 328 nucleotides long. RefSeq lists it as uncharacterized. NCBI's taxonomy places the organism in Eukaryota, Metazoa, Arthropoda, Insecta, Hymenoptera, Apidae. The transcript is spliced from 3 exons. The record is from RefSeq and is a predicted model, not a curated record.